Acanthosepion pharaonis is the source of this 90-nucleotide non-coding RNA. Lineage: Eukaryota; Metazoa; Mollusca; Cephalopoda; Sepiida; Sepiidae. The record is from the annotation of a GenBank genome assembly.
CCUGGAACUCGUACAAUCACCAGAGUUAAGCAACACUGAGCCUGGUCAGUACCUAGAUGGGUGAUUGCUUGGGAAUACCAGGUGCUGUAA